Molecule: ribosomal RNA, 279 nt
Filed under: uncultured bacterium
Lineage: Bacteria
Description: partial 16S ribosomal RNA
Rfam family: Bacterial small subunit ribosomal RNA
Source: RNAcentral
UGCCAGCAGCCGCGGUAAUACGGAGGGGGUUAGCGUUGUUCGGAAUUACUGGGCGUAAAGCGCACGUAGGCGGAUUAGUAAGUAAGGGGUGAAAUCCCGAGGCUCAACCUCGGAACUGCCUUUUAAACUGCUAGUCUAGAGUUCGAGAGAGGUGAGUGGAAUUCCGAGUGUAGAGGUGAAAUUCGUAGAUAUUCGGAGGAACACCAGUGGCGAAGGCGGCUCACUGGCUCGAUACUGACGCUGAGGUGCGAAAGCGUGGGGAGCAAACAGGAUUAGAUA